GUUCGACCGGACCUGAACCGACCCGAACCCAUUAUCAAUAUCAACGAGCAAGCCAAGCCCCACUACGCCAGCCACGAAUCCUCCACGACAAUUGGCCUCUCUCAGUCCGCUCAUAUAUUUUUCUGGUUUCGGCUAUCUCAACGACUGGUCUCUGCUAUUGAAAAUUUAGGGUUCAGAAGCUGGGGAUAUGGCUGUUAAUUGAAAAUAGCCAUGAAGUCCAUUUCCCUGGAUCUUCCUCUUUUUACGAGGUUUUGCAGUUCGUCUAGUGGCUCAAGGUCGAAAUGGGUCUUUUAUGGUGGCUUCUCUGGCUGCCCAAUGUUCUGUAGAAGAUGGAAUUGUUAUCCGAAGCCUCCCAGACUUUUUUCGAGUUGGGAGAAGGAUUGUUCGCUGAACUUGAAUAGGUGUAGUGCUAUGGGAACUCUAGAGGAGGAUUGUGGGAGUGUGUGGGGGGACUCUGAGUUUGUGGAAGUGAUUGGCAUUGGCAGCAGGAAGGAUGCGGUCAUCGAUUUCUGUUUGAAUUCGCCUUUGCAGUCCUCAUCUGUGAGGUUCUGGAAUAUUUUCAGGAGAGAUUCAUUGAAGGUGCAUUUACAACAAAGAUCCAUUGGAAGAGAUAUUACUCCAGUCCUUGUGGAAACCUUUCUAUCUGAGCAGCAACAUUUGAAGACUAUUGUCCUUGUGGCCAGUGCAGGAUAUGGCUCAGAUCACAUUACAGCAAUUGAUAUUCUUAGAACAACAAGAUCUGCAAAUGGAUUAGCUAUUGGUGUUAUUUUGAAGCCUUUUAGCUUUGAAGGAAAAAGGCGCCAAAAUGAGGUCAAGAAUUUGGUAGAGAGACUUCAGGAGCAUACAAAUUUUUGCAUCGUGAUUGACACUGACACACUACUCAAAAAGGAUUUAGUAACCCUAGAUGAGGCUCUGAAGACUGCAGAUAAUGGAGUUCUAUUGGCCAUAAAUGCUAUUUCUGUUCUCAUAUCUGGGAUGCACAAAAAGCUUAUUGAUGCACCACAUGAUAAUAUGAAAGAACUCAAGGGUCCGGAAAUUAUAAAAAUUUUAGAAAGCCACAAAGAAGCAAAAAUCGGAUUUGGGGCUGGCUACAACAUUGAAACUUCAAUUUUACAAGCUAUAUAUGACUGCCCUUUCCUUAGUGUGUGUUUAAAGGAUUUAAAUGGCACAGUUAUAUGCAUUCUUGCAAGUUCAGUCAUCAUCAACAACAGUGAUGUGCUUUCCUUUUUGCAUGCUUUCCGGAAAAUUACAGAAUGCACGAGAGAGAUCAUAAUAUCUAUAAUUCAUGAGCCCAAUCUUGAGCCCAACCUGAUAGUGACAACAGUUAUUAUUUUAGGUUCUACUGGGCAACCGGCAACUCAAAAAAGCAGCAUAUUGUCCCAACUGGCCCAGCAUUUCCCUUUUAUUUUUAAUCUUUUGGGAGGACACCAUCUGCAACCAAAUGGCACACAAGAAAGCCCUUCUAUUGAAGGCCCGGGUCUUCCUAAGUUGAUAAAUGCAGACGACUCUAGUGAAAUGCAAACUGGAAUUCCUAUGGAUGGCAUUGCUGAUGAUAUGGAUAUGUACUCUGAAGAACUCCAGAUGUUGUUGGGCAGAAAUGACCAUGAAAUCAAUGCUUCAAGGGAUAGUAAUGGAAGAUAUGAACAAAGUGAGCUUGGAUGCUCAGAGGCCACUAUCGAUUCCCUCAACUUUUAUGAUCAAAAUACUGAAGGGAUAUCUGCUUUCCAAAGAGAGCCGCUUAUUGGCUGGAAUUUGGGACCAGGAGAUCAGAUUGCACAGGAGUGGGCUAAAGAAAGGGCAGCUGAUUCUGGAGCUACUACAACGCUUGACAACCUAAGCAUCUUCCACCUUCCAGUGGGUGUGAGACCUUUAGAAGAGUUGAAUGACAGUCCAAAUAUCUCAAAUACCACACAACACCCAGAGACAAAAAUAGGGGAUGAGAUUAAGGCACAACCACUGGUUACUUCAAGGAUGCCUUGGGAUGAAUUAACUGGUGCAGGUUUUGAAGCAGUAAUGGAUCUUUACAAUUCUGCAUCUACAGUACUAAAGGGAAAAUAUGCAGAUAUUCCCAAAAAGCAAGGCAUGCUUUCUGUUCGUGCUGCAUCUAUGCUGGAAUCUGAACGAGAUUCACAAAAAAAAUGGAGCCCCAUUGUGCAAAUGCAGUACAGAGGAGGAAUCUACCAGGGGCGUUGCCAAGGGGGUCUUCCUGAAGGAAAGGGUCGUCUUUCACUUAGGGAUGGAAGCAUAUAUGAUGGCAUGUGGCGCUAUGGUAAGAGAUCAGGUCCAGGAACAUUCUACUUCUGUAACGGGGAUGUGUUCCAAGGAUCAUGGAGGGACGACGUUAUGCAUGGAAAGGGUUGGUUUUAUUUUCAGAGUGGAGAUAGGUGGUUUGCAAACUUUUGGAAGGGAAAGGCAAAUGGUGAAGGGCGCUUCUAUUCAAAGUUUGGUGAUGUCUUCUUCGGCCAUUUUAAAGAUGGAUGGAGACAUGGCCACUUCCUGUGUAUCAAUGUUAAUGGAGAAAGGUGCGUUGAGGUUUGGGAUGAAGGUGUCCUUGUAAGUCGCGAACAGCUGGACUCGGAUACUGGCACUGGAUGAAGAUGCUGCCCAUCAGACAGCGCCCUAGCAUUUUUAUCUUAUUCUCGGUCUUCUUCACCGACUCCCUACAGUAUCCCUGUCCAGCGCCAGUGAGCCACAAAUCAAAUCGGCAGUAGCAGUAAACAAGUAGACUGGAAAAGGAGAGGAAGCGAGACUCCAACUCAAGACCCCCAGGAAUAUGGGGUGUGGUUAUUUAGUGGAAGAGAGACAACAGCUACUCCCAGACGAAGCCAAAGCUUAUAUAGCUUGGCUCCAAACUAAAUUCAAAUUUAAAAGAAUGACUGCCACUACACUUUGCAUAGGCAUCUUUACUACAACAUGAUAUGGCACCGGUGAUGGUGGGGUGGGGUGGGGAGGUUGGGGGCUGUGUUGCAAGCCCCAAGUGGAUCCACCGUUUUACUGCCUGGAAUUCACAGGCAUAAAAUGAAUCCAUGCCCAGCUCAUAAAGCAUUCUCUAAAACUUCAGCAUCAAUCAAAAUUCAUUAUCAAUGGUGCCACAUUAGAUUUA
Vitis riparia (riverbank grape) is the source of this 3103-nucleotide RNA transcript. It is a transcript of the gene named protein ACCUMULATION AND REPLICATION OF CHLOROPLASTS 3, with no coding region annotated. The transcript has 18 exons. The record is from RefSeq and is a predicted model, not a curated record. Lineage: Eukaryota; Viridiplantae; Streptophyta; Magnoliopsida; Vitales; Vitaceae.